This is a long non-coding RNA of Pongo pygmaeus (Bornean orangutan), 3701 nucleotides long. RefSeq lists it as uncharacterized. Lineage: Eukaryota; Metazoa; Chordata; Mammalia; Primates; Hominidae. The record is from RefSeq and is a predicted model, not a curated record. The transcript is spliced from 5 exons.
CUUGGCUGAGGGCAAAGACGCUCCUGGAGCUCCCGUCCUUCGGCUUGCCUCAGUUGCCACUGCCAUCUUGGAUCAGGGUAAUUCCCGCCUCUUGGGCGCUCCCGGUUACAACUUCGGCGCCAUCUUGGAUUACUUCAAUGUGGCCAUCCUCGCCAGGCCCGCUGCUUCUGCCAGCUGGAUGUUGCGUCGUCCCUCGCUAUUCGCCCUCCUAUAAUCACUGCUUCCAUGUUGAAUCAAAACAAUUAUGCUUUCGUUCUCCCUUCUUCAAUGGCCCUAUCUUCACACCCAAACACUAUUGCUCCGGCAUCCUGCCAUUUUGGAUCAGGGCGGUUGACGGUGGAUUCGCUUCCCAUCAGCCCUUGAGGCUGCAGAGACCAGCCCUUUGCUAGUGGAGAAGCCUAGGCGGCCUAGAAUCCAGUGUCGUCCGUGAGUGCUUGGCAGGUGUUCAAGUGCAUCUUCCAGCCUGAGACCGCGUGGACUCGCUCAUCGUGAGGGCGAGAGGAGGAUAAGCCCAUUGGGCUGUCGGCUGAGAGUGAGGUGCGGGGGUCUCAUUCUGUUGCCCAGGCUGGAGUGCAGUGGCAUGAUCAUAGCUCACUGAAGCCUUGAACUCCUGGACUCAAGUGAUCCUCCCACCUCAGCCUCCCGAGUAGCUAGGAUUACAGCAGAUUGCUGAUGAAAUCCUUGGCAUCGUCGGAGAUCUCAUCGAAUGCCUCGUCGUCGAAGUCCCAGGUGGCUGACGUAACGUUGGCCAAGGUUUCAUUAUCGUUGUCUCCCAUGAAGGGGGAAAGGCCACUGACUCUGGAGAGACAAGAGCAGGAGAGCAGGUGUGGUUAGGAGAGGGCGCGACGACCAGCCCUGCUGAUCCACAUUCCAGCCCAGAAUGCACUGCCCAGAAACUGUCUACCCCAAUAACCAAAGCCCUGGGAAUGAUUCUGGGAUUGUGACAGAGCCACUUCCCAGUGCUGGCAGUCAUGCCAGAGGCCUCCUGUGAUGGAACCACUUUCGCUGGCUGUUUAAUAUGUUCUCUUAGAAAAACUGUUUGUUCUGAGAGAUAUAUUGGCCUUUUUUGAAACAUUUCUGGUUUUGGCUAAGAUGUUUAUUACUCUAAACUCUCUUAAAGACAAGUGGUUCAAGUCCUCUCAAGACCCAGCUAAGGAAGUAAAAAAACCUGAAGAGGGAUGGAAGACAGACCCACUACUCCUCCCAGAGAAGGCUGCCUGGAAACCAUGUGAUUGGCCACGGUUGGAGUCCUGUGGGCUUAUAAAUGAAUGCACUCUGCCAACUGAUCUUCCUUCUGCUUUGGUCAAGAAAAUAAAACUGAGAAAUAGGUGUUGCAGAAGAGGUGCCAUUUGUACCCUACCCUGUUACAGAUGUCUCUUGGCUGAAAAUGAGAACCUAUACAUGACAUAUGUGAUAUGUAAGACUUGUCACACAAGAGAAGAUGCAAAAUUUGGGGAGAGGGACUUUAAUUCCAAGUAAAACUCCAACACUUUUAAGGAAUUUGCUACCAAAUUAAGGAGUUCAGAAAAGACCCAAGUCAGAAGUCCUAGGAGAUUGGAGGCCUCACACCCCUCCACCUGCCUUUAGAGCUGUGGGCUGCACCUAAUGCUUUCUGUUCUUUCUAAGCUACAAGCCCCAUGCAGUGGCUGAACUAGUAAAGGGAUGAAAACCUUCAGAAAAGAACAGACGUCCUUAGAACAGGGAGCUCCUGUGAGCCUGUCCUCCACGGCGACACACUCAGACUGGGAGGGAGACCCUGAGCGUCUCUGGGCAAAGGAGACUCCACAUUUCCUCUGAAUUCUCCCAGGGCUCCCUGGAGGCUUGACUAACAGAAUAGGAAACUCAGCUGAGUCUAAGACAAGAGUCUCCAAUGGCACCAGCUCCAGGAUUUUCUCCUCAGCAAAUGUUCUAAUUCCCAGGAAAACGGAGGAUCCUGUCCUACAGCUUCCCACUAGAGUAACUGCCCUCGAGGUCUCUUGGUGCUCACUUAUUUGAAGAUGACCAGUGGCUAUGCCUAGCCCCACCUGGAUGUCCCUUCCCUGGGACUUCAGCAGCUGCUGGAAGGGCCCCCAAAGGUCAUCUACCUGGAUAAUCCUAGCCCUUGGGAAAUGGGUCCUCAGCAGCUAUGGCAUUUUUCUUAUCAAGAAAACCCAGUAGUCAGUGGCAGAGCCAAAAGGAGAUUCCAAAAAGCCUCUGGACCCUCGCUCCAGGGCUCAAGACUUUCCAGGCUAUCAGGCAGAAUGAGCUCAAGAAGGCAUCUUGCUUAAGCCUGAGCUGAGCAUUAAGAUGGGAAAUCAUGCAAGCUCCAAACUCAGUUAGUAUUUGGGGAUUAUUGGGUAUUUGGGGUUCUCUCUACUUUGUUUUUCUCCUGUAAAGAUAUGAAAAGAGACCUGCUUUUCUCGUGCUGGGUGAGUGACCUUAAGGAAUCCAUCUGGGUGUGCUGCUCACUGUCCCCUCCCUCAUUCCCCGCAGGCCAAGACCAGGGGCACAUGUGCAGGAAGAGGCUCUGAGCAUUGCAAAUUCCUGGGCUGCCUUUUAAAAUAUAACAAUAAUAAGUCUCCAAAAUAGCUAAAUAUCACUCAUUUAAGCUAACAGAGGGAAAGGCUAGUUUUUAUUUUUGUUUGAAAAAUAGGAGUCAGAGAUGAUCUGAAAAGAAAGUGGCCCUUUAAAGAAUAUACAAUAAGAGAAGUUUGCUGCUAACAAGAAGGAGUUGUAUUAAACUGGCCUUAUUUAGCUGGUCUGUAAAUGCAUGAAAACUGUCCGGAGCAGACCAAGUGAUUCCUGUUUUACCUCAUGUACAUUUUACAUCUGCUUAAUAAACCCUGAUCAGAGAAUACAGAGAUGUCCCUGGAGAUGCACAGGUAAAUCUGAGCUUCAUCCAGGUUUACUUUGAACUAAUUCUAAGUGCAUGGGCUCUGAAUGAAUGUGGCUUUGCUGUAUCCAUCAAUGUGAGUCCUAUUUUAUUGAGCAAUUCUAUUCUUAGCUCUUUGAGGGGGAGGCAGACAGAAAGCCUCGGUUCCCCUCCAUUCCAUUCCCCUCCCAGGACGGCAUUUAACAUGCUGCUCCUGCCAGCUGGCAGACAGCCACGCCAAUGGCCCUGUCAGCACUGGCCGCAGAGAAUAAGAAACUAAACCAUAAAAGGCCAGAACUGCAGCCCGUGCAGUGGUGAUCGGAGGAGGGGAGUGCAUGGCACCGCGCAGGAGCUGGGCAUCGUGGGGGCUGGGGGGAGGGACGGCUGAGUACAGAAAAGCAGUUCAAAGAAGCUGACCCCAAAGUUGCUUAAGGAGGAGCAGAUGAGAGAGAACAUCAAAGAAAAGUUUAAAGUGAUGCUUGCUGAUAGGACGGGAGUACAGAGCCAAUCAGUGCUUCAGAACAGAUCUAAAUGUACCAGUAAAGUGGAUCACUAGCACCAAGCCUCCACAGGUUCCUGACUCCUUGGGAGGAAAUUAUUCAAAUAAACACCUGGAGUCACCAAAAAGAGACAGAGCGAGAAAAGGGUUGUUCUUCUCCUUUAGAAAUGAAAAACCCAUUCUCUGACCCCUUUGUACACCAGUCUUCCCCGAUCUGAAACUUCUAACUGAAAGAAACAAAAGAACGGGGGUCAGAGGAAGGAAGACAAACAGAAAAGAGGGGACACGGGACAGGGUGACAGACACUGAGAAAUGGCUGAAACAGAACACGGGGUGAAGAAACAAGGCCAG